This 452-nucleotide ribosomal RNA is filed under the name uncultured bacterium. RNAcentral describes it as "bacterial SSU rRNA". It matches the Rfam family "Bacterial small subunit ribosomal RNA", at positions 29 to 526 of the family's 1533-position model. The record is from RNAcentral.
AACGAACGCUGGCGGCAGGCUUAACACAUGCAAGUCGAACGCCCUCUUCGGAGGGAGUGGCAGACGGGUGAGUAACGCGUGGGAAACUACCUAUCAGUACGGAACAACAGUUAGAAAUGACUGCUAAUACCGUAUACGCCCUUUGGGGGAAAGAUUUAUCGCUGAUAGAUGUGCCCGCGUUAGAUUAGCUAGUUGGUGGGGUAAUGGCCUACCAAGGCGACGAUCUAUAGCUGGUCUGAGAGGAUGAUCAGCCACACUGGGACUGAGACACGGCCCAGACUCCUACGGGAGGCAGCAGUGGGGAAUAUUGGACAAUGGGGGCAACCCUGAUCCAGCCAUGCCGCGUGAGUGAUGAAGGCCUUAGGGUUGUAAAACUCUUUCACCGGUGAAGAUAAUGACGGUAACCGGAGAAGAAGCCCCGGCUAACUUCGUGCCAGCCGCCGCCGUAACAC